RNAcentral lists this ribosomal RNA (500 nucleotides) under uncultured bacterium. RNAcentral describes it as "bacterial SSU rRNA". It matches the Rfam family "Bacterial small subunit ribosomal RNA", at positions 27 to 518 of the family's 1533-position model. The record is from RNAcentral.
GGACGAACGCUGGGCGGCGUAGCUUAACACAUGCAAGUCGAACGGAGUUAAGCGCUGAAUGGAGCUUCGGCAGAUUCUGCUUAACUUAGUGGCGGACGGGUGAGUAACGCGUGAGUAACCUGCCCUCGAGUGGGGAAUAACGUUCUGAAAAGAACGCUAAUACCGCAUAACAUACAGGAGCCGCAUGGACUCGUUGUAUCAAAGAUUUAUUGCUCGAGGAUGGACUCGCGUCCGAUUAGCUAGUUGGUGAGGUAACGGCCCACCAAGGCGACGAUCGGUAGCCGGACUGAGAGGUUGAACGGCCACAUUGGGACUGAGACACGGCCCAGACUCCUACGGGAGGCAGCAGUGGGGGAUAUUGCGCAAUGGGGGGAAAAACCCCUGACGCAGCAACGCCGCGUGGAGGAUGACGGUUUUCGGAUUGUAAACUCCUUUUAUAAGGGACGAACUAAGACGGUACCUUAUGAAUAAGCUCCGGCUAACUACGUGCCAGCAGCUGC